UCGUCACACUAUCAUUAACUGAAUCCAUAGGUUAAUGAGGCGAACCGGGGGAACUGAAACAUCUAAGUACCCCGAGGAAAAGAAAUCAACCGAGAUUCCCCCAGUAGCGGCGAGCGAACGGGGAGGAGCCCAGAGCCUGAAUCAGCAUGUGUGUUAGUGGAAGCGUCUGGAAAGGCGCGCGAUACAGGGUGACAGCCCCGUACACAAAAGCGCAUGUGCUGUGAGCUCGAUGAGUAGGGCGGGACACGUGGUAUCCUGUCUGAAUAUGGGGGGACCAUCCUCCAAGGCUAAAUACUCCUGACUGACCGAUAGUGAACCAGUACCGUGAGGGAAAGGCGAAAAGAACCCCGGCGAGGGGAGUGAAAAAGAACCUGAAACCGUGUACGUACAAGCAGUGGGAGCACCCUUUGGGUGUGACUGCGUACCUUUUGUAUAAUGGGUCAGCGACUUAUAUUCUGUAGCAAGGUUAACCGAAUAGGGGAGCCGGAGGGAAACCGAGUCUUAACCGGGCGUUAAGUUGCAGGGUAUAGACCCGAAACCCGGUGAUCUAGCCAUGGGCAGGUUGAAGGUUGGGUAACACUAACUGGAGGACCGAACCGACUAAUGUUGAAAAAUUAGCGGAUGACCUGUGGCUGGGGGUGAAAGGCCAAUCAAACCGGGAGAUAGCUGGUUCUCCCCGAAAGCUAUUUAGGUAGCGCCUCGUGAAUUCAUCUCCGGGGGUAGAGCACUGUUUCGGCUAGGGGGCCAUCCCGGCUUACCAACCCGAUGCAAACUGCGAAUACCGGAGAAUGUUAUCACGGGAGACACACGGCGGGUGCUAACGUCCGUCGUGAAGAGGGAAACAACCCAGACCGCCAGCUAAGGUCCCAAAGUCAUGGUUAAGUGGGAAACGAUGUGGGAAGGCCCAGACAGCCAGGAUGUUGGCUUAGAAGCAGCCAUCAUUUAAAGAAAGCGUAAUAGCUCACUGGUCGAGUCGGCCUGCGCGGAAGAUGUAACGGGGCUAAACCAUGCACCGAAGCUGCGGCAGCGACACUGUGUGUUGUUGGGUAGGGGAGCGUUCUGUAAGCCUGUGAAGGUGUGUCGUGAGGCAUGCUGGAGGUAUCAGAAGUGCGAAUGCUGACAUAAGUAACGAUAAAGCGGGUGAAAAGCCCGCUCGCCGGAAGACCAAGGGUUCCUGUCCAACGUUAAUCGGGGCAGGGUGAGUCGACCCCUAAGGCGAGGCCGAAAGGCGUAGUCGAUGGGAAACGGGUUAAUAUUCCCGUACUUGGUGUUACUGCGAAGGGGGGACGGAGAAGGCUAUGUUGGCCGGGCGACGGUUGUCCCGGUUUAAGCGUGUAGGUGUGUGUUCCAGGUAAAUCCGGUUCACUUUAACACUGAGGCGUGACGACGAGGCACUACGGUGCUGAAGCAACAAAUGCCCUGCUUCCAGGAAAAGCCUCUAAGCAUCAGGUAACAUCAAAUCGUACCCCAAACCGACACAGGUGGUCAGGUAGAGAAUACCAAGGCGCUUGAGAGAACUCGGGUGAAGGAACUAGGCAAAAUGGUGCCGUAACUUCGGGAGAAGGCACGCUGACACGUAGGUGAAGUGAUUUACUCAUGGAGCUGAAGUCAGUCGAAGAUACCAGCUGGCUGCAACUGUUUAUUAAAAACACAGCACUGUGCAAACACGAAAGUGGACGUAUACGGUGUGACGCCUGCCCGGUGCCGGAAGGUUAAUUGAUGGGGUCAGCGCAAGCGAAGCUCCUGAUCGAAGCCCCGGUAAACGGCGGCCGUAACUAUAACGGUCCUAAGGUAGCGAAAUUCCUUGUCGGGUAAGUUCCGACCUGCACGAAUGGCGUAAUGAUGGCCAGGCUGUCUCCACCCGAGACUCAGUGAAAUUGAACUCGCUGUGAAGAUGCAGUGUACCCGCGGCAAGACGGAAAGACCCCGUGAACCUUUACUAUAGCUUGACACUGAACAUUGAGCCUUGAUGUGUAGGAUAGGUGGGAGGCUUUGAAGUGUGGACGCCAGUCUGCAUGGAGCCGACCUUGAAAUACCACCCUUUAAUGUUUGAUGUUCUAACGUGGACCCGUUACCCGGGUUGCGGACAGUGUCUGGUGGGUAGUUUGACUGGGGCGGUCUCCUCCUAAAGAGUAACGGAGGAGCACGAAGGUUGGCUAAUCCUGGUCGGACAUCAGGAGGUUAGUGCAAUGGCAUAAGCCAGCUUGACUGCGAGCGUGACGGCGCGAGCAGGUGCGAAAGCAGGUCAUAGUGAUCCGGUGGUUCUGAAUGGAAGGGCCAUCGCUCAACGGAUAAAAGGUACUCCGGGGAUAACAGGCUGAUACCGCCCAAGAGUUCAUAUCGACGGCGGUGUUUGGCACCUCGAUGUCGGCUCAUCACAUCCUGGGGCUGAAGUAGGUCCCAAGGGUAUGGCUGUUCGCCAUUUAAAGUGGUACGCGAGCUGGGUUUAGAACGUCGUGAGACAGUUCGGUCCCUAUCUGCCGUGGGCGCUGGAGAACUGAGGGGGGCUGCUCCUAGUACGAGAGGACCGGAGUGGACGCAUCACUGGUGUUCGGGUUGUCAUGCCAAUGGCACUGCCCGGUAGCUAAAUGCGGAAGAGAUAAGUGCUGAAAGCAUCUAAGCACGAAACUUGCCCCGAGAUGAGUUCUCCCUGAGACUUAAAGUCUCCUGAAGGAACGUUGAAGACGACGACGUUGAUAGGCCGGGUGUGUAAGCGCAGCGAUGCGUUGAGCUAAC
RNAcentral lists this ribosomal RNA (2736 nucleotides) under Salmonella enterica subsp. enterica serovar Enteritidis. RNAcentral describes it as "partial 23S ribosomal RNA". It matches the Rfam family "Bacterial large subunit ribosomal RNA". The record is from RNAcentral. Lineage: Bacteria; Pseudomonadati; Pseudomonadota; Gammaproteobacteria; Enterobacterales; Enterobacteriaceae.